UGUUUUGAAUUUUGGAAGUGAUAGGCGAAAUUUUAAGAUUCUUGUAUUUCUUGUUUUUUAAAUUAGAUUAAUAGUUAGUGUUUAAUAUUUAGUUAGUGUUUAUAUUUUUCAUUAUAAAAAAAUGGUAUAUUUUUUCUGUAAGGGCAGCACAAUUUUCUCUACUCGACAAGGCGAAGUCUUCGGAAGAGAAUUUUGUCUCUCGUAGUGCGCAUGUUAGGGUAAUCGAGAAAAUACUCGAUAUAGACAUUAUCUCUCUCUCUCGUCAAGAGAUAUCUCGUUGUA
This 282-nucleotide unclassified non-coding RNA is filed under the name Melitaea cinxia (Glanville fritillary). RNAcentral describes it as "misc RNA ENSMCXG00005020430.1". The record is from RNAcentral. Lineage: Eukaryota; Metazoa; Arthropoda; Insecta; Lepidoptera; Nymphalidae.